Molecule: small nucleolar RNA, 102 nt
Filed under: Erythranthe guttata (spotted monkey flower)
Lineage: Eukaryota; Viridiplantae; Streptophyta; Magnoliopsida; Lamiales; Phrymaceae
Description: Mimulus guttatus (spotted monkey flower) Small nucleolar RNA Z161/Z228
Rfam family: Small nucleolar RNA Z161/Z228
About the family: Z161 and Z228 are members of the C/D class of snoRNA which contain the C (UGAUGA) and D (CUGA) box motifs. Most of the members of the box C/D family function in directing site-specific 2'-O-methylation of substrate RNAs.
Source: Rfam by way of RNAcentral
AAGCCAAAUGAUGAUCAUGGAUUUAUCUUCUCACGACGGUCGUCUGAGUGACGCUCGUUAGGGUGUCGAAUUGAUGUAAUAAUCCACUUUUUUCUGAUGGUU